This 254-nucleotide ribosomal RNA is filed under the name uncultured bacterium. Its description in RNAcentral is "partial 16S ribosomal RNA". It matches the Rfam family "Bacterial small subunit ribosomal RNA", at positions 524 to 776 of the family's 1533-position model. The record is from RNAcentral.
UACGGGGGGGGCAAGCGUUGUUCGGAAUUACUGGGCGUUAAAGGGCUCGUAGGCGGCCACUAAGUCCCGCGUGAAAUCCCCCGGCUCAACUGGGGAACUGCGCGGGAAACUGUGGGGCUAGAGUUCAGGAGAGGGAAGCGGAAUUCCGGGUGUAGCGGUGAAAUGCGUAGAUAUCCGGAGGAACACCGGUGGCGAAGGCGGCUUCCUGGACUGGACACUGACGCUGAGGCGCGAAAGCUAGGGGAGCAAACGGG